GGGGCUGUAACGGUUUCGACGUUUUGACGAAAGUCACUUUGUGAUUCAGGCCGAGAGUGAGUCACCUCUCGUAAAUCCAGGCUCAAACAAAAAGUAAGUGCGAAUAACAUCGUUCCUUUUGCUCGCAAGCAAGCAGCCAUCGCUGUAGCUUAAAAACUCUUUAGCGAGCGUUCACGGUUUGACUCCGUUAAAGACCGUGAACCUAACCCCAACGGAUGCGCUAGUGCGUUCUCUCUGGUGGACUCAUUAGCAAAGACCUUUACCAGAGCAUCCUACUCUCAGGGAUAAAUGAGAGUCCCCGCCUCGCGGGCUAAAGAGGCUAAGCCUGUGAACGAAUGAAGUGUUAAUACUCAGGGCGGACACGGGUUCGACUCCCGUCAGCUCCAUCU
This 389-nucleotide transfer-messenger RNA is filed under the name Leptolyngbyaceae cyanobacterium RM1_1_2. It matches the Rfam family "transfer-messenger RNA". From Rfam's summary of the family: Bacterial tmRNA, also known as 10Sa RNA or SsrA, is named for its dual tRNA and mRNA-like properties. Its role is to liberate the mRNA from a stalled ribosome. RNAcentral also lists the same sequence under 4 other names. The record is from RNAcentral. Lineage: Bacteria; Bacillati; Cyanobacteriota; Cyanophyceae; Leptolyngbyales; Leptolyngbyaceae.